RNAcentral lists this transfer RNA (73 nucleotides) under Planctomycetaceae bacterium. Its description in RNAcentral is "tRNA-Phe". It matches the Rfam family "tRNA". From Rfam's summary of the family: Transfer RNA (tRNA) molecules are approximately 80 nucleotides in length. Their secondary structure includes four short double-helical elements and three loops (D, anti-codon, and T loops). Further hydrogen bonds mediate the characteristic L-shaped molecular structure. tRNAs have two regions of fundamental functional importance: the anti-codon, which is responsible for specific mRNA codon recognition, and the 3' end, to which the tRNAs corresponding amino acid is attached (by aminoacyl-tRNA synthetases). tRNAs cope with the degeneracy of the genetic code in two manners: having more than one tRNA (with a specific anti-codon) for a particular amino acid; and 'wobble' base-pairing, i.e. permitting non-standard base-pairing at the 3rd anti-codon position. The record is from RNAcentral. RNAcentral also lists the same sequence under 7 other names. Lineage: Bacteria; Pseudomonadati; Planctomycetota; Planctomycetia; Planctomycetales; Planctomycetaceae.
GGACAGGUAGCUCAGUUGGUAGAGCAAUGGACUGAAAAUCCAUGUGUCGGCGGUUCGAUCCCGCCCCUGUCCA